RNAcentral lists this ribosomal RNA (138 nucleotides) under Talaromyces variabilis. Its description in RNAcentral is "5.8S ribosomal RNA". It matches the Rfam family "5.8S ribosomal RNA", at positions 1 to 128 of the family's 154-position model. Rfam says of the family: 5.8S ribosomal RNA (5.8S rRNA) is a component of the large subunit of the eukaryotic ribosome. It is transcribed by RNA polymerase I as part of the 45S precursor that also contains 18S and 28S rRNA. The record is from RNAcentral. Lineage: Eukaryota; Fungi; Ascomycota; Eurotiomycetes; Eurotiales; Trichocomaceae. RNAcentral also lists the same sequence under 2 other names.
AAAUCAUUAAAACUUUCAACAACGGAUCUCUUGGUUCCGGCAUCGAUGAAGAACGCAGCGAAAUGCGAUAAGUAAUGUGAAUUGCAGAAUUCCGUGAAUCAUCGAAUCUUUGAACGCACAUUGCGCCCCCUGGCAUUC